UGGGGGAUAUUGCACAAUGGGCGAAAGCCUGAUGCAGCGACGCCGCGUGGGGGAUGAAGGCCUUCGGGUUGUAAACUUCUUUUGCUCUGAACAAGGCAUGCCUUUGGGGUGUGUUGAGUGUAGGGGUUGAUUAGCGCCGACUAACUACGUGCCAGCAGCCGCGGUAAUACGUAGGGCGCGAGCGUUGUCCGGAAUUAUUGGGCGUAAAGGGCUUGUAGGUGGCUGGUUGCGUCUGUCGUGAAAGCUCAUGGCUUAACUGUGGGUUUGCGGUGGGUACGGGCUGGCUUGAGUGCAGUAGGGGAGGCUGGAAUUCCUGGUGUAGCGGUGGAAUGCGCAGAUAUCAGGAGGAAUACCGGUGGCGAAGGCGGGUCUCUGGGCUGUUACUGACGCUGAGGAGCGAAAGCGUGGGGAGCGAACAGG
Molecule: ribosomal RNA, 420 nt
Filed under: Fusobacteriota bacterium
Lineage: Bacteria; Fusobacteriati; Fusobacteriota
Description: Fusobacteria bacterium partial 16S ribosomal RNA
Rfam family: Bacterial small subunit ribosomal RNA
Source: RNAcentral